RNAcentral lists this ribosomal RNA (914 nucleotides) under uncultured archaeon. RNAcentral describes it as "bacterial SSU rRNA". It matches the Rfam family "Archaeal small subunit ribosomal RNA", at positions 1 to 892 of the family's 1478-position model. The record is from RNAcentral.
UUCCGGUUGAUCCUGCCGGACCCCACUGCUAUCGGGGUGGGACUAAGACAUGCUAGUCGUGCGCUUCCAAGCCACGGUGGAGGCGCGGCGCACAGCUCAGUAGCACGUGGCUAACCUACCCUUGGGACGGAAACAACCCCGGGAAACUGGGGCUAAUUUCCGAUAGGUGAAGACUCCUGGAAUGGAUCUUCGCCCAAAAGGCGUUUAGACCAUGCUUCUAAGCGCUGCCCAAGGAUGGGGCCGCGGCCGAUCAGGUUGUUGGUGAGGUAACGGCUCACCAAGCCUUUAACCGGUUCGGGCCGUGAGAGCGGGAGCCCGGAGAUGGGCACUGAGACAAGGGCCCAGGCCCUACGGGGCGCAGCAGUCGCGAAAACUUCGCAAUACGCGGGAGCGUGACGGGGCCAUCCCGAGUGCCGUCCGCUGAGGAUGGCUUUUCCCCAGUGUAGAUAGCUGGGGGAAUAAGGAGAGGGCAAGUCUGGUGUCAGCCGCCGCGGUAAUACCAGCUCUCCGAGUGGUGGGGAUGUUUAUUGGGCUUAAAGCAUCCGUAGCUGGCUGGGCAAGUCCCCUGUUAAAUCUAACGAUUCAAUCGUUGGAUUGCGGGGGAUACUGCUCGGCUAGGGGGCGGGAGAGGCCGACGGUAUUCCCGGGGUAGGGGUGAAAUCCUAUAAUCCCGGGAGGACCACCAGUGGCGAAGGCUGUCGGCUAGAACGCGCCCGACGGUGAGGGAUGAAAGCUGGGGGAGCGAACCGGAUUAGAUACCCGGGUAGUCCCAGCUGUAACGAUGCAGGCUAGGUGUUCGGGCGGCCACGUGCCGCUCGAGUGCCGCAGGGAAACUGUUAAGCCUGCCGCCUGGGGAGUACGGCCGCAAGGCUGAAACUUAAAGGAAUUGGCGGGGGAGCACCACAAGGGGUGAA